RNAcentral lists this ribosomal RNA (478 nucleotides) under uncultured bacterium. RNAcentral describes it as "partial 16S ribosomal RNA". It matches the Rfam family "Bacterial small subunit ribosomal RNA", at positions 28 to 507 of the family's 1533-position model. The record is from RNAcentral.
GAUGAACGCUGGCGGCGUGCCUAACACAUGCAAGUCGAACGGAGUCCCGCCAUAGAGACCUUCGGGUCAAAGAGGGGAAGACUGAGUGGCGGACGGGUGAGUAACACGUGGGCAACCUGGCUCAUAGAGGGGGAUAACAGAGAGAAAUUUCUGCUAAUACCGCAUAAGCACACACUGCCGCAUGGCAGAGUGUGAAAAGAGAAUCGCUAUGAGAUGGACCCGCGUCUGAUUAGCCAGUUGGCAGGGUAAGAGCCUACCAAAGCGACGAUCAGUAGCCGAUUUGAGAGGGAGAACCGCCACAAUUGGAAUGAAGCACCGCCCCAACUCCUACGGGAGGCAGCCGUGGGGGAUAAUGCAAAAUGGGGGGGACCCUGAUGGAGCGGCGCCGGGGGGGGGGAGAAGGAUUUCGGGAUGUAAAGCUCCGUUAGCCAGGAAGGUUAUGAAAGUACCUGAAAAAGAAGCCCCGGCUAACUACGUG